This 5427-nucleotide long non-coding RNA is filed under the name Equus caballus (horse). RNAcentral's name for it is "lncRNA (ENSECAG00000049793.1)". Lineage: Eukaryota; Metazoa; Chordata; Mammalia; Perissodactyla; Equidae. The record is from RNAcentral.
CAGAAAGUGAGAAAUAAGACAAUUUAAUGAUGGCUUCCUUGACUUACAGACAACGGUAGACAAACAUGUCUGCCCAUGCACGCUACAAGGAAAUUCAGGGAUGCGUGGUGCCCCAAGGCUGUGGCAUUCAGAGCCACCGCCCGGCCUUGUGCCGCGUGGUCCCACCACCCGUCUGGCUCAGUGACAACACACACAGGGAGGGCCGGGCCGAGAGGAGGCAGGGUGCACGGCCACCACCAUGCGUCAGGGGAGGAGAGGAGGGAGGAGGAAGAGGGGAUGGGUGCUCGGGGGCUGACGUCUCGGGGUGGCGAGGAAGGCAGCCACCACAACCACAGCAGAAAGCAGCACAGGUGGCAGGGGCCAGGCUUUCCUCCCACACACCGAGGUCCUGACGACCCAGCUCCACCUUCCAGAGGCUGGAACCUUCCCGGGAUUUGGAGCCGGAGAGGUGGCAAGGGUGGAGCAAUGAGAGAGAGGCUCCUUCCAACCCUGAGGCCGCCUGAGACGGACGCCUCCAUCCCCUCUUGGCCUGCCUUCCCCCCACAAACCCCCAAGACCUGAGCAGGCGAACGAGAGAUCGGGGACCCCAUCACGCUUCCGGAAUUAACUCAGCUGAGAACAACGUUUCUAAAGAGGGGCAGAAGGAGGAAAAAACGCCACAGGCUUUUAAAGGGAAGACCCAGGAAGGGUGGCGUCGAAGGAGGGGAGAGUGGCCCCUGGCUCUAUCCAGCCGUGGCCGCUGGUCCUUGGCCCGACUGUGCCGGGCCCUCUAGCUGAGCAUCUUGUGCCGAUCGAAGACCGUCUUCCGUUGCUCCUGCACCUGCAGCUUCCACCGCUGCUGAGCGCCUUCCACACGUUCCAGGACCGUGUUGGCGCGGGGUCCCCCGAAGGAGGCCGCGGCAGCCGCCAUAGAGCGAGCAUCCUGCAGGAGGACAGGAAAGGGAAGAUUUGGCACCGUGAGCCAGAGGGGUCUGGAAAGCUGGCACGCAACACAUGCCCCGAGAGCAACCCCAAAGUCUGAACUCCCUCCACCCCCAACUGGGAGGCUGGGGCUCCCCAGGGCCGCGGGCUCCUGGAGGGCCUGGCCUCCACCCACAGGGCCCAGCACAGCACCCGGCCAGCUGGAGGCUAGUGCUUGUAGAAUCUGGAGGACCAGGCCCGGGAAGGGGGCGCCUGGAAGACCAUGAUCUGGGGCCCCAGGUACGAAACAGCCAGCUCGUCAGGUCCACAGGUGCACCCCCAGGCCUGUUUCUAACCCUCGACGGGAACACUGAGUGUUGGCCUCAGGACCUCACUCAGCGCUGGGGACUCAAGACACUUGCUGUUUCAGGAAAUGCAUCGAUUGCCCCAAGGCUGGUCCUGGGCUGCAGAACUCCCCUGCCCGGCCGCCACAGCUCAGGGCUGCAGGAAGGCCCAGGGCUAGGACCUGGCUGCGCAGAGAGGAGCGCACAUCCACUCUGGGCAGGAGAGGGCCCUCUGAGGGGCCUGCACAGGGGGGCACCCACAGGAUCUGCUCUCAUGGGGCUGGGAUACCCAGUUCAUUCUCCCGGGAAACAGGGGAUGACGUCCCUUGGGGAGUCUGGCAGGGAGGGAAAUUCGGAGCUGGACCCCAGCACCCCAUCCCACAGCCAGCCCUGGCCCACCCUUUGGGCCAGUUGGGUGGGCUCGCUCCUUCUCCACCCACCCCACCGCCCCCGCCCCUUUGCUGUCAGAACGGUUUCUGUCGUCGUCAUUGAAGGCAGCAUCCUCCCCUAAUUACCACUUCUCUGCCCCUGACGCCGGAGCCCGUGCGUUUCCUGCAGGACCCGAGCCUGAUCUUUGGGGGGGACUGGAGCCGAGGGCCAGGCCCACACCCCCCUGGGGAUUUCCUCCCUGGCUCUCCCUGCCUCUCAUCUCCUGCCACACGUCUCUUAAGGGAUUAGCACACCUCUCUGAGCCUGGGGCCGCCCAGUAAAUGCAACUGCGCUUCUAACGCCCUGAGCUGGCACGGCUUCUGUCACCACGCAGCUGCCAGGCGGGGAGCAGGAGGGGGGCCGGGCGAGGGUGGGGGGCAGAGAGGUGGCUGGAGGGGAGGCCGGCAGGCGGUCCACUGUCGCCGCAGAGUCUCACAAGCACUGCCCAUGGCAAGUUAGAGACGGACACAGCCCCAGGAGCCCCAUGUCCAGGACUCGAGGCCCCGCCCUCUGCCAGGCCAGGUGAGGGUCACAACACCUCGGAGGCAGGUGCUAGCAGCCUUGGCAGGGGCAUGCUGCGUGUGGGGUCCGGACCCCAGGGCUCCACGCCUGGGCUUUGAGGGGCCACCCUCUCCUCCGGCCUCAGGCCCCCCGGCCCAGCUCAACUUAACCAUGCCAGGCUGCUCAGGCUCUUGACCACACCAUCAGCAGGAAUUCCGUCACCUGACGCUCCGACAUCAUUGCAUCACACACACACACACACACACGCACAGUUACAAUCUCACAGACUGCCCAGUACGGUGCAUUCUGACGUUGCCUGCUCUGCUCCAUUUAGUUUUUUAAAAUGCUGGCCGUGACUCCUCAACUGACUUCAUGACCUCACGGGUCGUGACCUCCAGUUUGGAAAACCCUGGCUCCCAAUCAGGAGACGGGCCGGCAGGAGACACGCGAUCACACGCGCCCGGCACUUGGCAGGCUGGUGGCCACAGACAGGCGCUCCGGGAGCGCCCUGCAGUUUCGCGCAGCCUGCAGAACUCUCCGGAAUCAGACAAGCCUGGCCGUGAACGCUGGCUCUGCGCCUAUCAGAACAGGGCCUUGGGCAAGUCACCCGGUCCCCUGAACCUGCUCCCCACCUAUUGCUCUUCUCAUCGAGACCACAAACCUGAGCUCUCUGGCAGCGCCUGGCAGACAGCAAGCGCUUGGGGAACAGCAGCGAUUCCUAAUAUCAGGCCCAGCUGCGGGGUCUCCCAGGCAGGGGCGGGGGAAGCUAGCAGCCUGUGGCCUUGGAAUAAGGACUGUUGCAUCACGUCCCCUCUCAAGUCUGUUCCUUUCCAGUUCAGCGGGGCCCACUGAACGCUCCCGGGGGCCAGGGACGCCGCUGGCCCGCCAGCACCUAGCUCUCCUGGCCUCUCCUGCCCAGUCCCCAUCUUGUUCCUCCCAGGACCAGCGAGGAGGGAGGGUGUGACCCCGAGGAGCGGGGCGCUGGGAGGCUGUUGCCUGCGUGUGCGUGGCUCUGCGUCUCGGGAGGCUGGGGGGGCAGGCAGAGCAUGAAGGGGACGCGCCAGCACGCAGCGCACGACCACGGCCUCGUUUGUUCUCCCUCGGGUAAAGUCUUAACCAACUGCCUCUAAGAGGGAGAAUCUGGGUGGAGAGCUCCGUGUCCCCGUGCUAAGAGUCUGAUUAAAAGGUAUUAAGACCCCGCACCUGUUCUGAGACAGCCCGGAGCGGCCUCCGCGCCGGCUCUGUAGUGGGACGGUGGCCGCAGGUGGGAGAAAGCCCACUGUCUCUCGCCCCUUCCCUCCGAGGCCGGGUCUCCAGGCAGCUCGGGGAGGCAGAAGGCAGUGAGGGGAGGGGGGGUGGCCCCAAUCAGGAGGAGGCGCUUGGAUGCUGACAGGUUCCCAGGGCCCCCUGGUGGGGGCGGACCAGCACGGUGGUGACAGCUCCACGGUGCACCAGGCGCUGGGCGGGGAACUCCACAUGGAUCCCCACCAGGCCCACGGGACUGGCACGUGGGCGACAUUAUUCCCAGCUGUGGAUGAGGAAACCGCGGAAGACGAAUCACCUCGCCGCCCAAGGUCACACAGCAGUUCAGCGGCCGGGCCAGGAUCUGAACCCAUGCCUGCACACCCCUUACCCCAAGACACGCCUGGGUCCCUCUGUGGCCAACGUGGAAAACCCAAAAGCAGACUAACCCCAAGGAGAGAGCAGUGAAGGCACCAGGGAUCAGGCACUGCCGCUGGCCCCCCCCAGCCCUGGGAGACCCCGAAGAUCCGUAUGGACCAGACUGAGCUGACAGACUCCCCAUGAGCGCCUGGUGAAACCAUUGCAUGAACCCUCCUCAGCCCGCCCGGAGGCGCUGGUUCUGAGCCAGCUCUGGACCGGACCCGAGGCUCUGGGACAACAGGGAGAUGAGGAAAGAGAACCCCCACCUCUGGUGGGCGGCCCUCGGCCCCAGACCUGGGGGCGCACAGCACAGGCAGCCUCGUGCUCCCCCAGCCACACAGCUAAGCGGGCGAGUGUGAGCCUGCGUCCUCCCUCAGUGCUGACGAAUAACCGACUCCUGCUGCAGCCAGCCCCAGGCUUCCUCGUGCAUGAACCACCAGGCGUCUUCUGACGCUGUCACAUGCCGCUGCUUCUGCUCAGAGGCCUUGCCUGGCGCCCCGGCUGCUCAGGGAUGACCUGCCCUGAGCUCGGCCCACUCUGAGCUACAUGAGCCCGCAGCCAGCCUCGCCUGCCCUGCUCCCGUCCUCGGCCACACUCGUCCACGCGGCCUUUGUACUGCCGUGCCUGCCUCCCCGCCAGGCCUCUGCCGUGCCGCCCCAGCCUCCCCUCCAACGAUAGCACGCUCCUCGGGUGUUAAGACCACCCCCGAAACGUCUAGUUCUGAAGGAGGAAUGCACACCGUGACGCUGGCACACACGCGAUCACAACAAUAUGCUGAGGGGACCAUCAAGCCUGCUCCAGAGUCAGAGAACUGAACCGGGCGGUCAGCACCCCUGGGGACAGGAAGCGGCAGACAGAGCUGGACUCCCACCAGAACUGGGAUCUGAAACCCUGCUCCUGCCAACAGUCCUGCGAGGCCUGAUGGCUGUUCUAGAAACGUCUACUGACUCGCAGCCCUCCCAUUUGUCCUCAGAGGAGAGGAGGGUGCGUCCCCAUCAGCCCCCGAGGUCGUGUGCUGCUCAACCCUCCCUGGAGGAAGCGGGAGCCCAGUGCCCUGAGCCCUGUCUUCUCUGCGGUCCCCAUGUGCCCAGGCGCCACCACCAUCAGCACGGCCAUCAUCCUCUCUCCUUGAUCCCCGCACCCCUCUCCCCCAGGGGCCCAGGGUGGCAGCCGCGCCCAUGGGGGAGAUCUCGGAGGACCCUGUUAGAGUGCAGGGGGCCGGCGCUGGGAGCAGCAGAGACACCCGGAGCCUCCUAGAAGCCCUCGCUUCUCUCUCUUCAAAGAGCCAGACCUGCACAUCUAAGGCAGCUCCGUCCCGGCAAACAUGCUCGCUUCCUCCUUUCAAAGGGCGUCUGAGCCCGGGGAUUAGCCCUAAAGCUGCUGGAAUCCUGGGAGGCAGCGCCCGGCAGUCAGGCCCACCGAGGCCUGCCAGCGCUUUCAAAGGGACGCGCAGCUUUCAUCUCCUCCCCGGGCCGGGGCCGGGGCCGGGGCCGGGGCCGGGGAUGCAGGCGAGGCCUCCCCUCCUCCUCCAGCCCUCCAGCCUGGGGUAGGAGAGCUCCCGGCUACAGGAACUGGGGGGAUGGCACCCAGG